CUUGAUAUCCUAUUCUCUUCACACAACAUAUUGUCUCCUUUUUCAUCUCUUGGGAUGUCAACAUGCACUCCCCUACUCCUCUCGUUAUUUUCUCUCUCAAAUUAUUUCAUAGCUUCUUUCACAUGUUUUUUAUCUUCAUAAAUUUGAGACGAGACUAAAGGUACAAGUAUAUAUUUUCUUUUGUUAAGCUCAAGAGAAACUCUAUUCUUUCUCUUAUCAUGAAUUGCAUUCCUACUAAAUUGCCAUGGACUCCCAAGCAUGAUAUGACAAUCUUGCAUUGGAAUUACA
This 288-nucleotide long non-coding RNA is filed under the name Solanum tuberosum (potato). RNAcentral describes it as "long non-coding RNA (STUB_LNC001710)". The record is from RNAcentral. Lineage: Eukaryota; Viridiplantae; Streptophyta; Magnoliopsida; Solanales; Solanaceae.